CCUGACCUUAUCACAUGGUGCUGAGACAUUUGAGGCUAUACAGUGAGUCAUUAGUGUGGAAGGGCCCUGAUUGACUGGGAAGUCCUCUGAACUUGACAGAAGGCAGUGGAAUUCCCUGGAAACUGUCAGAAGCCCCUAGAUCUUUCUUCUAGCUUCCAUUAGCUUCUUCCCCUGUUCCAUUAAUAGAUAGAAGAUUCUACCUGCUUAUCUAAGCCUCUGUACAAUAUGGUAUAAAGGGAGGCCUUUUGUCUGCCUUGGAGAACAACCAAUUCAACCAUCUUCUAUCCUACACAACUUGUGUGACUUGCACAUCUUACUAAGCUGCUAACCCCAGCUAGGGUUCUUACACUUACUUAGUGUAUUAAUUCUCAGUUAAGUAGUUGCUUUACUGCUUAACCACUUGGACUAAUCCUCUAGGUGAAAUUCUACAGAGUGAGUCUGACAAUUGAUAGUCUUGCCAGUUGCACUCCAAUACCCGAUAGUUAUUGAUCAGUUGAUUUUCCUGUUCAGUAUCUUUCACAAGUCAAGUCAAGUUGCUUAUAAAAGCUACCUCACAUGCACUUCUCUUAUGUCUCUUGUUAUUGCUGUGCACUGACAGAUUAUCAGGUCAGUCCAUUUAUAAACUUGCCUGCUAGGUGUCUUCCUCUUUCUUUGGAAUACACUUGAACCCUGAAAGUGUCCUUGAACCUACAGUCUAAUAGUUUAUUAUGCAUUGCUGCUAAGAAAUGCAUUGCCUUCCAUCUGUGAUAACUUAGACUAGUUACGGAUUGCAACCAAGGUACAAAUAUUAAAUUAUUUCCAGAGUUGUGCUGCAGCAGUGCUAGUAUUAUAGAAGUCUCAUAUAUGACACAUUCUGAUAGAUUGAAGUGUUAGCAAUAACACCAAAGUCUUGAAGGGUUCCAAAACAGUAUAGGGGUGAAAGACUAAUUGAACCAUCUAGUAGCUGGUUCCUGCUGAAGUUUCCCUCAGGAUAGCAGAGACUCAUAUUAGAUUUAUGUGGUAAAGUGAAUGAUUAGGGGCCUUGGGGUUGAAACAACCUUAACCCAUUCUCAAACUUUAAAUAUGUAAGAGCAAGCGGUCACUUGAUUGGACUGCUUGGCAAAUGAGAGUCUCUAGAGGGCCAUUUUUAGUAAGCAGAACUGGUGAUGCGGGAUGAACCGAUCGUGAGGUUAAGGUGCCAGAAUACAUGCUCAUCAGACACCACAAAAUGUGUGAGUUCAUCUAGACAGCAGGACGGUGGCCAUGGAAGUCAGAAAUCCGCUGAGGAGUGUGUAACAACUCACCUGCUGAAUGAACUUGCCAUGAAAAUGGAUGGUGCUCAAGUGUGUUACCCAUACCUUGCUGUCAGUGUUGAAGUGAUGCACUGAUGAGUAGGUAGGCAUGAGGGUCCAUGAAGAAGCCUUGGCAGCAAUGCUGGGUGAAAUGGCCUUCAGUGCAGAUCUUGGUGAAAGUAGCAAAUAGACGAGUGAGAACCUCGUUGACUGAAGUGGAGAAAGGUUCCAUGGUAACAGCAGUUGGACAUGGGUUAGUCGAUCCUAAGAGAUAGGGAAGCUCCAUUUCAAAGUGUGCGAUUCUUUGUGCCUCCUAUCGAAAGGGAAUCUGGUUAAGAUUCUGGAACCAGGAUGUGGGUUGUUGGCGGCAAUGCAAAUGAACUUGGAGAUGCUGGUGAGGGCCCCAGGAAGAGUUUUCUUUUCUCCUUAACAGCCUACCACCCUGAAAUUGGUUUGUCUGGAGCUAGGGUUCAAUGGCUGGUAGAGCUUGGCACCUCUGCCAGGUCCAGUGCAUCCUUGAUAGUCCUUAAAAAUCCAAGGGAAUGAAUUGGCUUCGCACCUGGUUGUACUCAUAACCGCAGCAGGUCUCCAAGGUGAACAGCCUCUAGUUGAUAGAACAAUAUAGAUAAGGGAAGUUAGUAAAAUAGAUCUGUAACUUCAGGAAAAGGAUUGGCUCUAAGGGUUGGGUACGUUGGGUCUUGGCUGGAAGGCUUGGGACCUGGCCGGGACUAUUUGAGAGGGGCUCUGCCCUUUGGACGGACCUGGCUGGGACUUGGGCAUGGAUGGCCUUGGCUGCCUUCAGGUGUCUGGCGUACACUUAAUAACUGACUUAGAACAGGUAUGGACAAGGGGAAUCUGACUGUCUAAUUAAAACACAGCAUUGCGAUGGCCAGAAAGUGGUGUUGACACAAUGUGAUUUCUGCCCAGUGCUCUGAAUGUCAAAGUGAAGAAAUUCAACCAAGCACGGGUAAAUGGCAGGAGUAACUAUGACUCUCUUAAGGUAGCCAAAUGCCUUGUCAUCUAAUUAGUGAUGUGCAUGAAUGGAUUAAUGAGAUUCCCACUGUCCCUAUCUACUAUCUAGUGAAACCACAGCCAAGGGAACGGGCUUGGCAGAAUCAGUGGGGAAAGAAGACCCUGUUGAGCUUGACUCUAGUUUGAUAUUGUGAAAGGACAUAGAGGGUGUAGAAUAAGUGGGAGCUUCGGCACUGGUGAAAUACCACUACCUUUAUUGUCUUUUUACUUAUUCAGUGAGGUGGAGCUGGGACUUGGUCCCACCUUUUGGCUUCAAGGUCCUUCAUGGCCGAUCCAGGCCGAAGACAUUGUCAGGUGGGGAGUUUGGCUGGGGUGGCACAUCUGUUAAAAGAUAACACAGGUGUCCUAAGGGGGACUCAUUGAGAAUGGAAAUCUCAAGUAGAACAAAAGGGUAAAAGCCCCCUUGAUUUUGAUUUUCAGUGUAAAUACAAACCAUGAAAGUAUGGCCUAUCGAUCCUUUAGUCCCUCGGAAUUUGAGGCUAGAGGUGCCAGAAAAGUUACCACAGGGAUAACUGGCUUGUGGCAGCCAAGUGUUCAUAGUGAUGUUGCUUUUUGAUCCUUUGAUAUUGGCUCUUCCUAUCAUACUGAAGCAGAAUUCAGUGAGUGUUGGAUUGUUCACCCACUAAUAGGGAAUGUGAGCUGGGUUUAGACCGUCAUGAGACAGGUUAGUUUUACCCUACUGAUGGAGCAUUAUCGUAACAGUAAUUAAACUUAGUACAAGAGGAACCAUUCAUUCAGAUAUUUGGUAUUUGUGCCUGUCCGAUCGGGCAAUGGUGUGACACUAUCAUCUGUUGGAUUAUGGCUGAAUGCCUCUAAGCCAGAAUCUGUGCCGGAGACGAUGAUGUUGGUCCCGCUAAAGAUGCACUAACAGGAAUAAUACCUAUUAGCCUGCAUGCAAUGGUCCUUCUACCCGGACGGUCUAUAAUGCAGUCGUUUGUGGGCAAAGAGACUACAGC
This 3259-nucleotide ribosomal RNA is filed under the name Ramaria cf. rubripermanens. RNAcentral's name for it is "eukaryotic LSU rRNA". The stretch from base 637 to 3259 matches the Rfam family "Eukaryotic large subunit ribosomal RNA". The record is from RNAcentral. Lineage: Eukaryota; Fungi; Basidiomycota; Agaricomycetes; Gomphales; Gomphaceae.